RNAcentral lists this ribosomal RNA (468 nucleotides) under uncultured bacterium. RNAcentral describes it as "partial 16S ribosomal RNA". It matches the Rfam family "Bacterial small subunit ribosomal RNA", at positions 28 to 507 of the family's 1533-position model. The record is from RNAcentral.
GACGAACGCUGGCGGCGUGCUUAACACAUGCAAGUCGAACGGAAAGGCCCUGCUUUUGUGGGGUGCUCGAGCGGCGAACGGGUGAGUAACACGUGAGUAACCUGCCCUUGACUUUGGGAUAACUUCAGGAAACUGGGGCUAAUACCGGAUAGGAGCUCCUGCUGCAUGGUGGGGGUUGGAAAGUUUCGGCGGUUGGGGAUGGACUCGCGGCUUAUCAGCUUGUUGGUGGGGUAGUGGCUUACCAAGGCUUUGACGGGUAGCCGGCCUGAGAGGGUGGACGGCCACAUUAGGACUGAGAUACGGACCAGACUCCUACGGGGGGCAGCGGUGGGGAAUAUUGCACAAUGGGCGGGAGCCUGAUGCAGAAACGCCGCGUGCGGGAUGACGGCCUUCGGGUUGUAAACCGCUUUCGCCUGUGACGAAGCGUGAGUGACGGUAAUGGGUAAAGAAGCACCGGCUAACUACGUG